RNA transcript from Drosophila hydei, 3193 nucleotides. RefSeq lists it as uncharacterized. The transcript has 16 exons. NCBI's taxonomy places the organism in Eukaryota, Metazoa, Arthropoda, Insecta, Diptera, Drosophilidae. The record is from RefSeq and is a predicted model, not a curated record.
AUCAAAUCGAUGACUAUAUUUGUUCAUUCGAGGGACUUGGCGACUUAACAAUGGACUCCUUAGCAAUGUUCAUAUUCUUGUGGGCCGUGCUGGCCCUCUUCUCCGUUUGGCUGUGCAAGCUGCUCUACCACAAGUAUCUCAAUAAGGGCGCCAAUGCCGCCGCCGUCUCCAGUGCCGGCAACAGUCGGCAGAGCAGCGUUGCUCCAGGCGGCGCCGCGAAGACGGAGAAGCGACUGUCUGAGCCACGCGAUCUGCUGGCCACCAAGAGUAAAGUAGAAGAUUUAUCCAAGCCACUGACCGGCGGCGGCGGCGCUGGGUCAGCGGGACGCGGACGUUCCACAGCCUCGCCGAUGGGCGGCGCUGCAGCCGGACCGCGUCGCCGUGUCGUGCGCCAGAGCUCCACGGGGCCAGAGAAUCGCAAAAAGCGCUACGUGCCGCCGCCCUCAAAUGUGGUUGGACCAGAAACGAGCUCCGUCACAUGGACCAGCCAAGUGUUCCGCUGGCUGUACAGCGAUCUAGUUAUAGUCAACGAACUGCUCAUGUCCUGGGUGAUAGCGAUAAACGACACGCUGCGCAAAUCCGUCGAGGAGCAUGGCGUAGCAGUUGAGGUGGUGCGCGUACUGCCCGACAGUCCAGCGCCGGCCCUAAACAACAUAUUUUGCAAUUGCGAGGAGCAGAAUCCCGCUGAAAUGCUCAUCACCUUCGACUGCGAUGCGAUGCCUGUGCUGCAGGUGAAGACGUUCAGGCAGAAGUCGGGCAAGGUGGAGACCUCGCAUUACAAGGUCACCGUGUCGCGAUUCCGUGCACGCAUGUCCAUACCCAUCAACUACAAUACGCUGAAGGGUGAGAUGCGUGUCGACGGCUAUCCGGACGUGCGCAUUGCCAUGAACAGUGUGGGCGCCAUCAAGGCCAUGGAUCAGGAUGAGCAGCAGCUGCAGACGGUCAUCAGUGACAUAUUGACGACGGCGCUGCGUGACACCGUCUAUCCGGUUGACUUCUCCAUCUACUCGACCUGCCCGCGCGCCGAAGUGGAGCCCUUGGACUUGCCCGUAAUCUAUCCCGUGCACUAUGAUUCGCUGGCGCACAACAUGGAGCAUCUGGGCUCUGGCAUGCUGCGCGACUCCCAGCACAUGGUAUCCGGUCGUCGACUGCUCGUGAAGAUCGUCAAAGGCGACGGACUAAAAGAUGCCCACGAGCCAUACGUGGUCAUCGAGAUGGAUGAGCCGGCGCAGAAGAACCAGACGGGCACUCAGCGAGGCAGCAAACCCUACUGGGAUGAGCAUUUCCUAUUCGAACUCUCCCCGCAGUCGGCUGAAAUACUCUUUGAAGUCUAUGACCAUCCAGUGAUUGCAUCGGAUCCGCCCAAGUUCCUUGGCCUCGGCCUCGUCGGCAUUGACGAGCUGGCCGUGGGGCCCGCCUCCAGCCAGGUGCUGCAACUGCAGCCACGCCCCUACGAAACGCAGCCCGUUGCGGGCGCCAUAACCGUCGACUUUGUCUUCAUCGAGGGCGCCGAGAUUCCAGCCAACGCGCGUCCCAACCGCCUGAAGGAAGCCCUGCGCCUGAGCACGCCUGCCAUCAACGAGCACAUACGCAACGGCGCCGAUCUGGCUGAUGCAGCGGUCCGUGCUCUGCAGGAUGGCACACUCGCCGGCUCCAGCGCCGGCGGCCAGCCCAGCAAGAGCACCCUGAUCAUACACAGCGUGCAACGGAACUCGACCAAUCCACAUGCAUUUAAGGUCGAGUUGAACAAAGAUGGCCAGCUCGAGGUGACCGAAAAAGCAUCGCCCACUGAGCUCGACCAGGCCGUGGCCCAGGCAUUCGAGCGGGCUGCCAAUGAGGCGGCCAGCUCGACCUCGAUCGAUCUGGUGGAUAGUCCAGCCAGCGAGUCGCCCAAUACGUCAGGUAACACAGGUAACACCAACGAGGAGUCCACAGCCGAGUUUGGCCAGCCGAAUGCCGCCUCCUCGCCGAAUGGCAGCGGCUAUCACAACAACUACAGCUUAAAUGGCACAAACAAUCUCACCGGCCAGUCCAAUGGCAGCGGCAGCGCCUACAACUCGAACAGUUUGCCUCGCAAUGGCGCCUCUACGCCGUACUCGAGCGUGCAGCAGCAGCAGCAGCAGCAGUCGGGCUUGGAUCUGGAUGAUCGUGGUCGCAGCAAAAAACGUAAUUUCUUUGGCACCCUCAAGAAGCGUCUCAGUCGUUCUAAAACCCGCACCCUAUCGGCCGAUCAGCCCAAUAACAACAACCAUAAUUCACAAUCAGCCAACAAUACAACAACAAGAGCCACAGGACUCACUCGAACAGCCACUGGAACCCUCAAUGGUGAAUCUUCCCGUUCAUUAUCUGUCGAUCGUGCCACUCUGUCUAAAAGCAAUUCACUUGAAUCCUCAGCCAUCUCCGGGUUCUCCUCGGCAAGCAACAAGACCUACGUGCACGAGGCAUCCACCUUGGUCCUGGAAACUGUGGAGAAUGGCGUUAAGCGGCAUUUCAUUGUGCCACUGGCCAUUGCACAGAGGCCUCGCUGGCGUCGCAAGGGCACCAAACUGCACAUCUACAACGAUCACACCUUCAUAGCCAAGCAUCUGAGCGGAGGUGGCUUACAGUGCUCGAUCUGUAUGAAGUCCAUACCCAGGCGGCCGGGCAAGCAAGGCUACGAGUGUCGCGACUGCCAAUUGAUAUGUCACAAGCAAUGUCACGUCCGUGCUCCACAGGCGUGUCCCAAUCCCACGGUGCUCUCUAUGGAACUAACCUCAUAUCCGGAUGUUGAUUGAUCAGUAAGAUUUUAAGCGCACAAUUAUAUAAAAAUAAUGUUUCACAAUAAGAAGAGCAGCAGCAGCAGCAUCAGCAUAAGUAACUAAUAAAACACAAUAUAUUUUGACGUCAAUAUCAGUUUAUGUUCAACAUUCAAGCGAAAUAUUUAGAGAGCAGAAAGAAUAUUUUUUAGGCCAAUUAUUCAGAACUUCCGUUACCGUUCACUAAUUUUGGACAAUGGAACGAAACUAAAUCUAACUGCUGCGGAUCUUAGCAGGAAAUUAUAAAGAAAUUUACAAUAAAAAUACGAAUCGAAAUAAUAUAUAUAUUUAAAACUAGUUUGCAAUUUAUACACAUUGAGCGAAAGAGAAGUCGUCUAGAAAUAUUGAAAUCCUAAACUCUCAGAACAGAAACAAAACAAUUUGUAAACCUAUAAUCU